Molecule: ribosomal RNA, 806 nt
Filed under: uncultured bacterium
Lineage: Bacteria
Description: bacterial SSU rRNA
Rfam family: Bacterial small subunit ribosomal RNA
Source: RNAcentral
AGUCGUGGGGCAGCGCAGGUAGCAAUACUGGGCGGCGACCGGCAAACGGGUGCGGAACACGUACACAACCUUCCGAGAAGUGGGGAAUAGCCCAGAGAAAUUUGGAUUAAUACCCCGUAACAUAACGAUGUGGCAUCACAUUGUUAUUAUAGCUUCGGCGCUUCUUGAUGGGUGUGCGGCUGAUUAGAUAGUUGGCGGGGUAACGGCCCACCAAGUCUACGAUCAGUAGCUGAUGUGAGAGCAUGAUCAGCCACACGGGCACUGAGACACGGGCCCGACUCCUACGGGAGGCAGCAGUAAGGAAUAUUGGUCAAUGGACGCAAGUCUGAACCAGCCAUGCCGCGUGAAGGAUUAAGGUCCUCUGGAUUGUAAACUUCUUUUAUCUGGGACGAAAAAAGGCGACUCUUCGUCACUUAACGGUACCAGAUGAAUAAGCACCGGCUAACUCCGUGCCAGCAGCCGCGGUAAUACGGAGGGUGCAAGCGUUAUCCGGAUUCACUGGGUUUAAAGGGUGCGUAGGCGGGCAGGUAAGUCAGUGGUGAAAUCCUAGAGCUUAACUCUAGAACUGCCAUUGAUACUAUCUGUCUUGAAUAUUGUGGAGGUAAGCGGAAUAUGUCAUGUAGCGGUGAAAUGCUUAGAUAUGACAUAGAACACCUAUUGCGAAGGCAGCUUACUACGCAUAUAUUGACGCUGAGGCACGAAAGCGUGGNNNUCAAACAGGAUUAGAUNNNNNNGUAGUCCACGCCCUAAACGAUGAUUACUNNNNNNUUGUGAUACACUAUAAGUGUCUGAGCGAAAGCAUUAAG